UACGGGGGGGGCAAGCGUUGUUCGGAAUUACUGGGCGUAAAGGGCUCGUAGGCGGCCAACUAAGUCGGAUGUGAAAUCCCCAGGCUCAACUUGGGAACUGCAUCCGAUACUGGAUGGCUUGAAUUCGGGAGAGGGAUGCAGAAUUCCAGGUGUAGCGGUGAAAUGCGUAGAUAUCUGGAGGAAUACCGGUGGCGAAGGCGGCAUCCUGGACCAAUAUUGACGCUGAGGAGCGAAAGCCAGGGGAGCAAACGGG
This 253-nucleotide ribosomal RNA is filed under the name uncultured bacterium. RNAcentral's name for it is "partial 16S ribosomal RNA". It matches the Rfam family "Bacterial small subunit ribosomal RNA", at positions 524 to 776 of the family's 1533-position model. The record is from RNAcentral.